UACAGAGGGUGCAAGCGUUAAUCGGAGUUACUGGGCGUAAAGCGCGCGUAGGUGGUUUGUUAAGUUGGAUGUGAAAGCCCCGGGCUCAACCUGGGAGCUGCAUUCAAAACUGACAAGCUAGAGUAUGGUAGAGGGUGGUGGAAUUUCCUGUGUAGCGGUGAAAUGCGUAGAUAUAGGAAGGAACACCAGUGGCGAAGGCGACCACCUGGACUGAUACUGACACUGAGGUGCGAAAGCGUGGGGAGCAAACAGG
Molecule: ribosomal RNA, 253 nt
Filed under: uncultured bacterium
Lineage: Bacteria
Description: partial 16S ribosomal RNA
Rfam family: Bacterial small subunit ribosomal RNA
Source: RNAcentral